UUUCAGAGGGGUUAGCGGUUAGGCCACGGCGCUGUCACCGCUGCAGCCUGGGUUCGAUUCCCAGCCAGGGAA
Pangasius djambal is the source of this 72-nucleotide non-coding RNA. NCBI's taxonomy places the organism in Eukaryota, Metazoa, Chordata, Actinopteri, Siluriformes, Pangasiidae. The record is from the annotation of a GenBank genome assembly.